RNAcentral lists this ribosomal RNA (596 nucleotides) under Priestia endophytica. Its description in RNAcentral is "bacterial SSU rRNA". It matches the Rfam family "Bacterial small subunit ribosomal RNA", at positions 33 to 607 of the family's 1533-position model. Lineage: Bacteria; Bacillati; Bacillota; Bacilli; Caryophanales; Bacillaceae. The record is from RNAcentral.
UUGCCAGGGCGCGUGCUAUACAUGCAAGUCGAGCGGAGAUUUGAAAAGCUUGCUUUUCAAAUCUUAGCGGCGGACGGGUGAGUAACACGUGGGCAACCUGCCCUUGAGACGGGGAUAACUCCGGGAAACCGGAGCUAAUACCGGAUAACACAUAUCUUCGCAUGAGGAUAUGUUAGAAGGUGGCUUUUAGCUACCACUCAAGGAUGGGCCCGCGGCGCAUUAGCUAGUUGGUGAGGUAACGGCUCACCAAGGCGACGAUGCGUAGCCGACCUGAGAGGGUGAUCGGCCACACUGGGACUGAGACACGGCCCAGACUCCUACGGGAGGCAGCAGUAGGGAAUCUUCCGCAAUGGACGAAAGUCUGACGGAGCAACGCCGCGUGAGUGAUGAAGGUUUUCGGAUCGUAAAGCUCUGUUGUUAGGGAAGAACAAGUACCUGUUAAAUAAGCAGGUACCUUGACGGUACCUAACCAGAAAGCCACGGCUAACUACGGUGCCAGCAGCCGCCGCAAUACCUAGGUGGCAAGCGUUGUCCGGAAUUAUUGGGGCGUAAAGCGCGCGCAGGCGGUUCCUUAGGUCUGAUGUGAAAAGCCCACG